GUGGGGAAUCUUAGACAAUGGGGGAAACCCUGAUCUAGCCAUGCCGCGUGAGCGAUGAAGGCCUUAGGGUUGUAAAGCUCUUUCAGAGGGGAAGAUAAUGACAGUACCCUCAGAAGAAGCCCCGGCUAACUCCGUGCCAGCAGCCGCGGUAAUACGGAGGGGGCUAGCGUUGUUCGGAAUUACUGGGCGUAAAGCGCACGUAGGCGGACCAGAAAGUCAGGGGUGAAAUCCCGGGGCUCAACCCCGGAACUGCCUUUGAAACUCCUGGUCUUGAGGUCGAGAGAGGUGAGUGGAAUUCCGAGUGUAGAGGUGAAAUUCGUAGAUAUUCGGAGGAACACCAGUGGCGAAGGCGGCUCACUGGCUCGAUACUGACGCUGAGGUGCGAAAGCGUGGGGAGCAAACAGGAUUAGAAACCCCAGUAGUCC
RNAcentral lists this ribosomal RNA (425 nucleotides) under uncultured bacterium. Its description in RNAcentral is "bacterial SSU rRNA". It matches the Rfam family "Bacterial small subunit ribosomal RNA", at positions 354 to 796 of the family's 1533-position model. The record is from RNAcentral.